CAACAAUUGCAAUGCUUCUGAGAAGACUCGUGUGCCAACUAAGUAUUCGGAUGCCUAUUCCACUUCCGAUCGAAGAAACACGGUUUCCCGGCAAGCUGAAGACAUCAAGAUUCACAAACUCAUCUUUCGCGGCGAACUAUUUGUCUACCAUCGAUAAGCGACGGGGUUAAGUUGUUUGGAAGGACUGAUAUGAUUCGACGAAAGCACGGGUGUUCUUUUGGUUCUAGUUUUCCUCUUCCCAUCCCGGCUUCGUUACGAAUACGCGAGGCGCGAAGAGAAGAGAAGGUUAAGAGCCGUUGCGAGUGACGGGAACGCCGAUCUCCGUCUCUAUCGAUCGAUCCCCGCCGUAAAUCCCGUAGAUCGGUGAACGCACGGCUCGGAUCCCGCCGGCCGGUCGCCGGAAAUGAAUAUCUUCAGGUUAGCGGGCAACAUGACGCAUCUCAUGAGCGUCCUCGUCCUUCUCCUCAAGAUCCACACCAUCAAGUCCCGAGUGGAGCAGAUCACGUCUGACCGUGGAGUUGGGUCACGAUCUGGAUGCCUGCUGCCUAUUUAUGCCCUGCUAAAGAGUAGAACUAAGACACUAGAAAUCUCUUCUACACCAGUAAAGAAAGUGUUACAGCGUGACCAGAGCCUUGCCAACCCUCCUAAUCAAGUUAGGGAAAGGAUUAUUGAAGCUCUAUCACUAAGUCAUGAUGGUGAUAUCUGAUAAGUGUCGUCUAUUGUUCUGUUAAAUUUUAACUGUAUUAUUAUCAUUUUUUAGUUGAGAUUUUAGGAAACAUGUGGAGUGCAAUUUGGAGCUUAUUUUGCGUCAAGAGUACUAAAAUAAUAUAGCAUGUUAGCUAGUUGUUUAGCUACAAGGACUCAUAACUGGGGACUUCUAGAGGUCUUUUUUGGCUGGUCUUAAAAUUGAGAAAAUAACAAAAGCUAAAACUCUCUCAAAUACUGUCUCUCAGUAAGCUCUAUGUUUAUCAGCGACUAAAAGCUCUCGAGACAUGAUUAUGAUUGGUUAUUAUAUUUGUACAAUGAAAUAUUUAUAAUUUCAGAACCCCCUGUCCUAUUCAUUCUUGUCGAGUUUUUUUUUUUCCUUUUUAAAUUUGAGAAGUGCUCGAUAGGAGUGACAUAUCCUAUCAAAAAAUGAAAGGAAAGGAAAGAUGCAAGGGAUAAUGCUUUCUCUUCCAUCCACUGAUGGCUUCAGUAUUAUUUAUAUCUCUUUUGUUUUUUUAUAUGGUCAUUUGAGCAUUUAACUAUAUUUUAUUUGACUGGCUCGACCAUGUAUGAUCUACAUAUUCAACUACUCAGAUUCUAUCAUGUUCUAAGAAUUCAUCUUGUCUUACAAACCAUAUCACUAUUUGCUAUUGAGAUAGUUAAAUCAUAAAUGAGAUGCAAUAAGGAUGAACUGAUAUAAAAUUUUGCUUGCCAUUCUUGUAGCUUUGUCAUAUGGCUCACAAUAGCUAGUCCCUGAUUUGCUUCACCUCCUUUAUGUUUUUAAUACAUGAUAUCUCUUGAUGCAUAUUUGUUCAAACAAACCAUGAAGUUUUAUACCUCUCAUCAUCAGAGCCAACAAGAGGUAUAUGAUCACUUUUCCUGAUCAUUUUGUGUACCAUUCUUUGUUUUUUUUUUUUCUUUUUGCUCACUUGUUUCCUUGUCUUGUAUUUUCUCCUCGAUGUUGUCAUUCUAAUUAUGGAUUUUUUGGGAAAGUACAUUUUGAUGCAUGUGCAACUGUGUACUUCUCUUGAAAGGUAAUGACCACAAAUGCAUUUUUAUUUGUCAGUUUGAUAAUUUACUAUCUCUCAGUCAGAAUGAAGUAUUAUUUUCCCUUAAUCUGAUGCAAGUUUUUAUCCAUCUUUUUCUGAAUCUAACUGACCAUCAAUAAUCUAUUCUGGUUGGUUGCUUUAUCAACAUAAGAAACCUCAUGAUUAAGUUAUUCCUCCUAAGUGAUUCUCUUCAAUGUAUGUUAUUUACAACUGGUUUCCAGUAUUACUAGAUAUCAUAAAGAUUUUAUUUUUCCAAAUGAACUAACUCUCAAACUUGACAUCUAUUUUGUGACUACUUCUUGUUUGGAUCUUGAUUGUCUUUCUGGUGUAUUUAAUCUUGGAUUUUUUUAUCUUUGUUUUAAAAAAACUCUUUCCAUUACAUAAAGUUGGUUAUAUUUGAUGUGUAUAACUUGACAUAGUUCAUGUUAUUUUCUAACAGGCAUUUCUCUGAAGACACAAGAACUUUAUGCCCUUGUUUUUGCCACUCGAUACUUGGAUCUUGUAUGGAGAUUCAUGUCAAUGGCAUAAGAUUUUGGAUCUUGGAUCUUGAUCCUUUUUUUUUGGAAAAAAAAACUCUUUCCACUACAUAAAGUUGGUUUUAUUGUAUGUGUAUAACUUGACAUAGUUCAUGUCAUUUUCUCACAGGCAUUUCUCUGAAGACAAGAGCUUUAUGCCCUUGUUUUUGCCACUCGAUACUUGGAUAUUUUUACUGAUUUUGUCUCAUUCUAUAAUACGACGAUGAAACUUAUUUUCUUGGGGAGCUUGUUCUCAAUUGUCUGGUACAUGAGAUGACACAAGUUGUCCGUAGAUCUUAUGACAAGGACCAAUACACUUUUCGUCACUUCGUUCUUGCAUUACCAUGCGUAGUUCUGGCUUUAGUUAUAAAUGAAAAGUUCACGUUUAAGGAGGUUAGCUCAUGUAUUUGGCAGGACUAUUUCUUUCUUAAAGAAUUCUUCAAUCAAACAAGAUUUGCCAAUCAUAUCUUGUAAUUAAUGUAUCGUUAUGACUGGAAUAGGUUUUGUUUGGAAUUGUUCCUGAGUAUAUUCCCUUCUCUAUCUUCAUGCUUCUAUGCCAUGUGUCCUGAUUUCUUUUUUCAUGACAGGUUAUGGGGACAUUCUCCCUAUAUUUGGAAGCAGUUGCAAUACUUCCUCAGCUGGUAUUGUUGCAAAGGACAAAAAAUAUAGACAACUUGACUGUUCAAUAUGUUUUCUUCUAGGAGCAUACAGAGCAUUUGACAUCCUAAACUGGAUUUACCGCUACUUCACUGAGCCUCACUGUGUUCAUUGGAUAACAUGGAUACCUGGAUUGGCACAGACAUUGCUUUAUGCAGAUUUCUUCUACUACUACUUAAAUAGUUGGAAGAACAAUGUCAAGCUCAAGCUACCAGCAUGAUUUGGUCUUAUUUCAAGGUCAACCAACCGUGGUAGGAUCUAGCCAUAAUGUGUGAGGAGUUACUCUUCUGGAGGCUUACUCCUGUGAAUUCCAUUCUCUUGUUUGAGUCCUUCAAGUUGCCCUAUCGUUUUAACAUGUCAGAGUCAUUUUUUAGCAGGAGUCAGAUAUAAGAUUCGUUAUCUGUUCUGAGCUGAGAUGACAAACUUGGCAAAAGUUUCCAUGUGCUAUGCGUGUUCUUGUAUUGAAAAAAAAAAAAAAAUUCAAUUUCUGUAAUAUCCUCUCUUUCCAUAUUUCAAGACAGUAUCAAAUCUUAUAUCUGCUUGUUUUUGUUCAUCCAACCUAUACUCCGUACCUCUUAGAA
RNA transcript from Musa acuminata AAA Group (dessert banana), 3507 nucleotides. It is a transcript of the gene named ER lumen protein-retaining receptor-like, with no coding region annotated. Lineage: Eukaryota; Viridiplantae; Streptophyta; Magnoliopsida; Zingiberales; Musaceae. The record is from RefSeq and is a predicted model, not a curated record. The transcript has 6 exons.